Phodopus roborovskii (desert hamster) is the source of this 1984-nucleotide long non-coding RNA. RefSeq lists it as uncharacterized. Lineage: Eukaryota; Metazoa; Chordata; Mammalia; Rodentia; Cricetidae. The transcript is spliced from 2 exons. The record is from RefSeq and is a predicted model, not a curated record.
ACCUGCUCUUUCCACAUGGGCAGGUCUUGUACAGAUGGAACAGGCAAAGCAGCACAUCCGUCAUUGAAACAAAUAAAACAUCAGUGGAGCUUUCUUUACCCUUCGAUGAAGAUUACAUCAUAGAGAUCAAGCCAUUCAGUGAUGGAGGAGAUGGCAGCAGCAGCGAGCAAAUCCGAAUCCCAAAGAUAUCAAAUUCCUAUGCAAGAGGAUCUGGGGCUUCUACCUCCAAUGCGUGUACAUUGUCAGCUAUCAGCACAAUAAUGAUCUCCCUCACAGCCAGGUCUAGUUUAUGACAAAAGUUAUUUAAAGGACUUGCUAUUUAUAAUAUAAGCAACAUUUAGCUAGUUGUUUUGAAGACACCCAGUACUAAGUAAUAUUGUUGUUCAAGUACAUCUUAUUACUGGAAAAAAAAUGUUUUUUGCUUCGUUAGGAAUGGCAUUAUACAAUACUUCCUCAAAGCAAAUCUAGCUUUGUCUGAAGUUUCUUGGGAAACUCUGCAAUGCACUGAAAACAUCUGUAAUAUGAUGUUACCAAAGCAGUUUACAUAUGUCCUUAUAUGCAUAUUUUUUAUUAUAUAUUUAGUGUUUUAUAGAAUUUUUUAAAGUUAACAUAUAAUGUAGAUAUUGGGUUUUUUUUUUCCUCUGCUGUAAAAUGUUCUGGGCAACACAACCACACAAUUAUGAUUUGAGACGAUUUCCUUUAUGGACAGAGUUUGAAACUCAUCUCAGUAAAUGAAUCACAAAUGACUUGUACAGUUUUACAAGGAUCUAGGGACAGAACAGCUGGAGCCUGGGUUUGUAAGGAAAGGCUGCUGUACAUAACUUACUCCUUGACUGGUUAAUGCAUUGAAUUGAGUCCCUUUGACAUAUGUGAUAUGUUUUCCCACCCUGUUGUGAAUUUUGUUGUUCAACACAACUUGAGAUGGUUUCAGGAACUACAAAUCUCUAAAACCAAUCUUCCCAGAUCAAGAGGCACCUUGUGCAAUCCUCCCAUCCCUGAACUUAGCAUCGUGUGGUAAGACUUUAUUUGAGCAUCAUCUUUGUAGUAGCAUUAUCUUAGGCACUGAAUUUGAAGUUACAUACCCUGUAGUAACAGAGACAAAACGUUACUAUAGUCAAACAAGUCUUUCAUGGCAUAAAAGGUAAUUUUACUCUUUAGACAUAUCUGUUUUGAAUGUAAAUUUUUUAAUGAAUAAUUCUGUCAAUGAGUUUAUAAUUUCAAAUCUUCUUAUAGAUAACAUGAGUAACUGUAAUGAUAGAGUCCUUCUUUUGAAUGACAAUAACAUAUGUAAUUUGAAAAAAUUUCCUAUUUCAGCAAGUAGCUGCUGCAAAGAAUUUUACAUAUGACUCUAUAAACUUUCAAUAGUACAAAUGAAUUGUAUCUUGAUGUCUCCCCUGUUUUGCAGUAGCUAGUCUGGUUGCUUCUAAGCUUUACAUAAAUCUUAAAAUCAUACAGUGAAAGAUGGCAAUAUUGAUAAAACCUCAUUCUUAUGAACAGAACUCUUUGUUAUGAUGGGGGAUGUUUUGUAAGCUGACAAGAGUGGAACAGAGAAGGCAAUGAGAUUUUCUAUAACACUUCUGACAUUCAAACACAGAGUCACCUUUUUCUUCUUUCUUGGAGAGCUCAUGAUUGCCUGUAACUUGUCAUUUUUGCUUACACAUAACAUAGCUUUUCAACCUUCUAAUUAUAUUCAUUCAAUAAUGUUAUAAUCAGGAUUACAUUUGUGUGAAAAUUAGGAUGGUAACAGGGAAAAUAUUGUCAGUAUUUCAGCUGCGUUCCUUUCUUAGUUUGAUAUGCUUUACUUCUAUGUUAAAAUAUGAUUUAAAAAUCAUAUGCAAAAAAUCAACAUAAUAAUAAAAUGAAUGAAAAAAACCUGAUACCCCAGGUAGUUUCCAACCCCAGUGUAAAUGAUAUCUACCAGUGAUCUAGCAUAUGUAAUCUUUUUUAAAAAUAUUGUUAAUAAAUAUUCUGUCAUUUGUAAAGA